RNAcentral lists this ribosomal RNA (229 nucleotides) under uncultured bacterium. RNAcentral's name for it is "partial 16S ribosomal RNA". It matches the Rfam family "Bacterial small subunit ribosomal RNA", at positions 104 to 334 of the family's 1533-position model. The record is from RNAcentral.
CGGGGUGGAGUAAUGUCUGGGAAACUGCCUGAUGAGGGGGAUAACUGCUGGAAACGGUAGCUAAUACCGCAUAACGUCGCAAGACCAAAGAGGGGGACCUUCGGGCCUCUUGCCAUCGGAUGUGCCCAGAUGGGAUUAGCUAGUAGGUGGGGUAACGGCUCACCUAGGCGACGAUCCCUAGCUGGUCUGAGAGGAUGGCCAGCCACACUGGAACUGAGACACGGUCCAG